This 487-nucleotide ribosomal RNA is filed under the name uncultured bacterium. RNAcentral describes it as "partial 16S ribosomal RNA". It matches the Rfam family "Bacterial small subunit ribosomal RNA", at positions 28 to 507 of the family's 1533-position model. The record is from RNAcentral.
GACGAACGCUGGCGGCGUGCUUAACACAUGCAAGUCGUACGAUGACCCGGCUCUUCGGAGCUGGUGAUUAGUGGCGAACGGGUGAGUAAAACGUGGGUGAACUGCCCUGCACUCUGGGAUAAGACCGGGAAACUCGGUCUAAUAUUGGAUACGACCAGUGGCCGCAUGGUCUGCAGGUGGAAAGACCUUCGGGGUGGUGUCGGAUGGGCCCGCGGCCUAUCAGCUUGUUGGUGGGGUGAUGGCCUACCAAGGCGACGACGGGUAGCCGGCCUGAGAGGGUGUCCGGCCACACUGGGACUGAGACACGGCCCAGACUCCUACGGGAGGCAGCAGUGGGGAAUCUUGCACAAUGGGCGAAAGCCUGAUGCAGCGACGCCGCGUGAGGGAUGACGGCCUUCGGGUUGUAAACCUCUUUCGGCAGGGAACAAGCCUGGGGGUUUUCUUCUGGGUGAGGGUACCUGCGGAAGAAGCACCGGCUAACUACGUG